UACGUAGGUGGCAAGCGUUGUCCGGAUUUACUGGGCGUAAAGAGCGCGCAGGCGGUCGUUCAAGUCGCGUGUGAAAGCCCCCCGGCUCAACUGGGGAGGGUCACGCGAUACUGAUCGACUCGAAGGCAGGAGAGGGUAGUGGAAUUCCCGGUGUAGUGGUGAAAUGCGUAGAUAUCGGGAGGAACACCAGUGGCGAAGGCGACUACCUGGCCUGUUCUUGACGCUGAGGCGCGAAAGCUAGGGGAGCAAAC
This 251-nucleotide ribosomal RNA is filed under the name uncultured bacterium. RNAcentral describes it as "partial 16S ribosomal RNA". It matches the Rfam family "Bacterial small subunit ribosomal RNA", at positions 524 to 773 of the family's 1533-position model. The record is from RNAcentral.